ACGCGUUAAGUCGACCGCCUGGGGAGUACGGCCGCAAGGUUAAAACUCAAAUGAAUUGACGGGGGCCCGCACAAGCGGUGGAGCAUGUGGUUUAAUUCGAUGCAACGCGAAGAACCUUACCUACUCUUGACAUCCAGAGAACUUAGCAGAGAUGCUUUGGUGCCUUCGGGAACUCUGAGACAGGUGCUGCAUGGCUGUCGUCAGCUCGUGUUGUGAAAUGUUGGGUUAAGUCCCGCAACGAGCGCAACCCUUAUCCUUUGUUGCCAGCGGUUAGGCCGGGAACUCAAAGGAGACUGCCAGUGAUAAACUGGAGGAAGGUGGGGAUGACGUCAAGUCAUCAUGGCCCUUACGAGUAGGGCUACACACGUGCUACAAUGGCGCAUACAAAGAGAAGCGACCUCGCGAGAGCAAGCGGACCUCAUAAAGUGCGUCGUAGUCCGGAUUGGAGUCUGCAACUCGACUCCAUGAAGUCGGAAUCGCUAGUAAUCGUAGAUCAGAAUGCUACGGUGAAUACGUUCCCGGGCCUUGUACACACCGCCCGUCACACCAUGGGAGUGGGUUGCAAAAGAAGUAGGUAGCUUAACCUUCGGGAGGGCGCUUACCACUUUGUGAUUCAUGA
Molecule: ribosomal RNA, 619 nt
Filed under: gamma proteobacterium MPD-79
Lineage: Bacteria; Pseudomonadati; Pseudomonadota; Gammaproteobacteria
Description: bacterial SSU rRNA
Rfam family: Bacterial small subunit ribosomal RNA
Source: RNAcentral